GUUAAAAAGCUCGUAGUUGAAUUUCGGGGUCAGUAGGUCGGUCGUGCCCCUGUACGUACUGGUAUCAUUGAUUUCUCCUUUCUGACGAACAAUGAUGUCAUUAAUUUGGUGUUAUGGAAUCAGGACUGUUACUUUGAAAAAAUUAGAGUGUUUAAAGCAGGCUUUAGCUUGAAUACAUUAGCAUGGAAUAAUGAAAUAGGACGUUUGAUCCUAUUUUGUUGGUUUCUAGGAUUGACGUAAUGAUUAAUAGGGAUAGUUGGGGGCAUUAGUAUUCAAUUGUCAGAGGUGAAAUUCUUGGAUUUAUUGAAGACUAACUACUGCGAAAGCAUUUGCCAAGGAUGUUUUCAUUAAUCAAGAACGAAAGUUAGGGGAUCGAAGACGAUCAGAUACCGUCGUAGUCUUAACCAUAAACUAUGCCGACUAGGGAUCGGAUGAUGUUAAUUUUUUAAUGACUCAUUCGGCGCCUUACGGGAAACCAAAGUG
Molecule: ribosomal RNA, 483 nt
Filed under: uncultured Glomus
Lineage: Eukaryota; Fungi; Glomeromycota; Glomeromycetes; Glomerales; Glomeraceae
Description: SSU rRNA
Rfam family: Eukaryotic small subunit ribosomal RNA
Source: RNAcentral